CACCUGUUCCCAUGCCGAACACAGAAGUUAAGCUUCAGCACGCCAAAAGUAGUUAGGGGAUCGCCCCCUGCGAGGAUAGGACGUUGCCACGC
Molecule: ribosomal RNA, 92 nt
Filed under: Limosilactobacillus fermentum
Lineage: Bacteria; Bacillati; Bacillota; Bacilli; Lactobacillales; Lactobacillaceae
Source: RNAcentral